AACGAACGCUGGCGGCAUGCCUAACACAUACAAGUCGAACGAGACCUUCGGGUCUAGUGGCGCACGGGUGCGUAACGCGUGGGAAUCUGCCCUAGGGUGCGGAAUAACUCGGAGAAAUCCGUGCUAAUACCGCAUAAUGUCUUCGGACCAAAGAUUUAUCGCCCUGGGAUGAGCCCGCGUAGGAUUAGCUAGUUGGUGGGGUAAAGGCCUACCAAGGCGACGAUCCUUAGCUGGUCUGAGAGGAUGAUCAGCCACACUGGGACUGAGACACGGCCCAGACUCCUACGGGAGGCAGCAGUGGGGAAUAUUGGACAAUGGGCGAAAGCCUGAUCCAGCAAUGCCGCGUGAGUGAUGAAGGCCUUAGGGUCGUAAAGCUCUUUUACCAGGGAUGAUAAUGACAGUACCUGGAGAAUAAGCUCCGGCUAACUCCGUG
Molecule: ribosomal RNA, 433 nt
Filed under: uncultured bacterium
Lineage: Bacteria
Description: bacterial SSU rRNA
Rfam family: Bacterial small subunit ribosomal RNA
Source: RNAcentral